UCUUUAUCACCGAGUGCUUGCACUCACCGAUAAAGAGUUGAGUGGCGAACGGGUGAGUAACACGUGGGCAACCUGCCCAAAAGAGGGGGAUAACACUUGGAAACAGGUGCUAAUACCGCAUAACCAUAGUUACCGCAUGGUAACUAUGUAAAAGGUGGCUAUACUACCGCUUUUGGAUGGGCCCGCGGCGCAUUAGCUAGUUGGUAGGGUAAAGGCUUACCAAGGCAAUGAUGCGUAGCCGAAUUGAGAGGUUGAUCGGCCACAUUGGGACUGAGACACGGCCCAAACUCCUACGGGAGGCAGCAGUAGGGAAUCUUCCACAAUGGGCGAAAGCCUGAUGGAGCAACGCCGCGUGGGUGAAGAAGGUCUUCGGAUCGUAAAACCCUGUUGUUAGAGAAGAAAGUGCGUGAGAGUAACUGUUCACGUUUCGACGGUAUCUAACCAGAAAGCCACGGCUAACUACGUGCCAGCAGCCGCGGUAAUACGUAGGUGGCAAGCGUUAUCCGGAUUUAUUGGGCGUAAAGGGAACGCAGGCGGUCUUUUAAGUCUGAUGUGAAAGCCUUCGGCUUAACCGGAGUAGUGCAUUGGAAACUGGGAGACUUGAGUGCAGAAGAGGAGAGUGGAACUCCAUGUGUAGCGGUGAAAUGCGUAGAUAUAUGGAAGAACACCAGUGGCGAAAGCGGCUCUCUGGUCUGUAACUGACGCUGAGGUUCGAAAGCGUGGGUAGCAAACAGGAUUAGAUACCCUGGUAGUCCACGCCGUNAACGAUGAAUGCUAAGUGUU
Molecule: ribosomal RNA, 783 nt
Filed under: uncultured bacterium
Lineage: Bacteria
Description: bacterial SSU rRNA
Rfam family: Bacterial small subunit ribosomal RNA
Source: RNAcentral